Molecule: transfer RNA, 87 nt
Filed under: Firmicutes bacterium ADurb.Bin182
Lineage: Bacteria; Bacillati; Bacillota
Description: tRNA-Ser
Rfam family: tRNA
About the family: Transfer RNA (tRNA) molecules are approximately 80 nucleotides in length. Their secondary structure includes four short double-helical elements and three loops (D, anti-codon, and T loops).
Source: RNAcentral
GCGGGAAUGGCGGAAUUGGCAGACGCGCACGGUUCAGGUCCGUGUGCUGGCAACGGCAUGCAGGUUCAAGUCCUGUUUCCCGCACCA